This 82-nucleotide small nucleolar RNA is filed under the name Leptotrombidium deliense. Its description in RNAcentral is "small nucleolar RNA SNORD53/SNORD92". The record is from RNAcentral. Lineage: Eukaryota; Metazoa; Arthropoda; Arachnida; Trombidiformes; Trombiculidae.
UUAACGUGAUGACAAUCCAAAUGGUUUCGCAUUUUGGCUGUUUGAAAACGACAAUGAUAUAAACACUUGGCUGUCUGAUUUU